This 492-nucleotide ribosomal RNA is filed under the name uncultured bacterium. RNAcentral's name for it is "partial 16S ribosomal RNA". It matches the Rfam family "Bacterial small subunit ribosomal RNA", at positions 28 to 507 of the family's 1533-position model. The record is from RNAcentral.
GAUGAACGCUAGCUACAGGCUUAACACAUGCAAGUCGAGGGGAAACGACAUCGAAAGCUUGCUUUUGAUGGGCGUCGACCGGCGCACGGGUGAGUAACGCGUAUCCAACCUGCCCACCUCUUGGGGAUAACCUUGCGAAAGUAAGACUAAUACCCAAUGACGUCUCUAGAAGACAUCUGAAAGAGAUUAAAGAUUUAUCGGUGAUGGAUGGGGAUGCGUCUGAUUAGCUUGUUGGCGGGGUAACGGCCCACCAAGGCGACGAUCAGUAGGGGUUCUGAGAGGAAGGUCCCCCACAUUGGAACUGAGACACGGUCCAAACUCCUACGGGAGGCAGCAGUGAGGAAUAUUGGUCAAUGGACGAGAGUCUGAACCAGCCAAGUAGCGUGCAGGAUGACGGCCCUAUGGGUUGUAAACUGCUUUUAUAAGGGAAUAAAGUGAGUCUCGUGAGACUUUUUGCAUGUACCUUAUGAAUAAGGACCGGCUAAUUCCGUG